UGGGACUACUGUGAAGAAGAAAUGAGCCAACACAUGCGAAGCACAAAGACCAGAAACGGGCUCAGGGAACGAACUUCACUGUUUUGGUUAGCACCUGCCAGGCCUAAAGUCUUCCAGGCGCUCCCUCUUUCCACGUCAUAAACGAAGCUGCAAUUUCACAUUUAUCACAUAACUCUCAGAGCAGUGUCUGUCUCUUCCUCUACUGUAGACUUCAGGAAGCGGGAAUCACACCUGUGGCUGCCUCUCCUCGCACGGUGUUGGGCGAAGAAAAGCACCAGCAUGUCUGAAGUAACUAAGAGGAAUGAGAAGACACCACUUACAUUGUCCUUCAGGUUGGAAUGGGACCAUCCGACAGGAGGGAUCUGAAACACUGGGAAGAAAGCAGCCCCCAGGCCUGCACUGGUCACAGAAUGCCCAUCCUUUGACCUCAGCCAUUCAGAAGUCAUCAGUUUCCAGCAAGUAAGACCCAGCAGUACCCCCCUCAGACUUCCAUCUUGGGAGCUCUCUGCCUCUACUUCAUUGGAUGUCGGGCGGAGACUGGAGACCUUGAGAUUCAUGUGCAAGCAUGGAAGUAUGAGCGAGUUAUUGUCCCACAGAGCAAUCCUUGAUGAAUGGGGGUCAGAGCAAGUGGAUAGACAUCUCCUCUGUGUUUGGGGUGGGCAGUUCUGAGGCCCAGUCUACCUGGCUCUUCAGAGGGUCCUGCGGGACGGGGGCUCGGUGCCUCGAUAUUGUAUCCUUGGGGAAGCUGUCCUUCUUUUCUUGGUUCAUUCUCCCAGUGGCUCACUUCUGUUUUGUGGAUUUGCCGGGGUUCUUGUCCCAGCAUCAAGAAGGGUUC
Long non-coding RNA from Myotis brandtii (Brandt's bat), 835 nucleotides. RefSeq lists it as uncharacterized. The record is from RefSeq and is a predicted model, not a curated record. The transcript has 3 exons. Lineage: Eukaryota; Metazoa; Chordata; Mammalia; Chiroptera; Vespertilionidae.